UUUACGAGGGAUGAAAGUAAACUGUUGUCCUUGCUAAAGAAAAGUGAACACGAUCAUUCCAAUGAACAUGAUAAGUUUGCCGUUGAUUAUGGUGGAAUCACAAGUUAUUUCCGCAAGCUUUGGGAUUCACCAUGCAAAACUAAAGAAACAAAUUCUCAAGCAGAAAAGGAAGACAAUAGCUGUGUCUGCAGUCGAGAACCUGAAACAUUGAAAUGUUCUGGCUGUUUUCAACAAUUCUUUGGUCGUGUUCGUUAUCAUUGUGAAUCCCAUCCUUAUCGUGAAUAUGUAUCAGAUUUGUUGUAUUGUCCUUAUUGUGGCAGUGAAUUAUGAGCGAUUGGACCAAUGAAAACGUUUUAAAAAUGUUUUUGAAUACUUUUUGAAUUAUAAUAUGUUUUUGAAUAAUAAAUUACUGUAAAAUAUGUAUACAUUGGAAUGAUUUUAAUAUUGAAUUUUCGAAAUAAAGUUGUGUUCAUUUUUGCAAA
Long non-coding RNA from Xenia sp. Carnegie-2017, 482 nucleotides. RefSeq lists it as uncharacterized. The record is from RefSeq and is a predicted model, not a curated record. Lineage: Eukaryota; Metazoa; Cnidaria; Anthozoa; Malacalcyonacea; Xeniidae. The transcript has 2 exons.